This 468-nucleotide ribosomal RNA is filed under the name uncultured bacterium. Its description in RNAcentral is "partial 16S ribosomal RNA". It matches the Rfam family "Bacterial small subunit ribosomal RNA", at positions 28 to 507 of the family's 1533-position model. The record is from RNAcentral.
GACGAACGCUGGCGGCGUGCUUAACACAUGCAAGUCGAACGGAAAGGCCCUGCGUUUGUGGGGUGCUCGAGUGGCGAAAGGGUGAGUAACACGUGAGUAACCUGCCCUUGACUUUGGGAUAACUUCAGGAAACUGGGGCUAAUACCGGAUAGGAGCUCCUGCUGCAUGGUGGGGGUUGGAAAGUUUCGGCGGUUGGGGAUGGACUCGCGGCUUAUCAGCUUGUUGGUGGGGUAGUGGCUUACCAAGGCUUUGACGGGCAGCCGGCCUGAGAGGGUGACCGGCCACAGUGGGACUGAGAUACGGCCCAGACUCCUACGGGAGGCAGCAGUGGGGAAUAUUGCACAAGGGGCGGAAGCCUGAUGCAGCAGCGCCGCGUGCGGGAUGACGGCCUUCGGGUUGUAAACCGCUUUCGCCUGUGACGAAGCGUGAGUGACGGUAAUGGGUAAAGAAGCACCGGCUAACUACGUG